Long non-coding RNA from Pseudopipra pipra, 1040 nucleotides. RefSeq lists it as uncharacterized. NCBI's taxonomy places the organism in Eukaryota, Metazoa, Chordata, Aves, Passeriformes, Pipridae. The transcript is spliced from 3 exons. The record is from RefSeq and is a predicted model, not a curated record.
CACGACCACUGCGCAGGGCGACCUCGUCUGCCUUGUGCUUCAUACCCUGUGCCCGUCCUUAUUCUCGUCCCCUUUGUCACCCUCCCCCUAAACCUCGCCCCGUCCCAUUCCUCAUCCCCACUUGGCUCCCGGCAGCCCGCCGGGGCCUUCUUGCCCUUCCUGCUGCUGGGAGCUCCAAGCAGGGCCAUGCCGUGGCUUCUGAGCAAGGAGCGACGGCAGUCGCCCUCCAGCAGCCCCAGUGGGCAGCCCUGGGCUGCCACCAGCUCCAGCAGCGCCUCCCAGCUCCGGGAGCAGGGGCUGGGCAGGCUGCACCGCGCGGCCGCCCGCGGUGACCUGGGCUGGCUGAGGCGCUGGCGCUGGUACGUCAAGGUAGUCGGCAUCGACAGGCCAGACCAGGAGAUGCGGACACCUCUGCAUCUGGCUUCAGCCAAUGGCCAUGCAGAUGUCGUCAGAUAUCUGCUAAGAAAGAACAGCCAGCCCAACCUCACUGACAACUUCAAGAGAACAGCCCUGAUGAAGGUGUGUGGAAUGCCUUCUGAGCUUGGAGGUGGGGCUCAGUGCUGGGGUGUUAAAGGGGAGGUGUCUGGCAGGAUUCCUUGCAGGGCAGGGCCAUAGAAACACACCUAUUGCAAUGGGCAGGGCACAGCCUCUGUUAGCUGAUCUUUGAAGAUGGUCUUCUAUGGCAGCACUCAGGAGCUGAGGGCGUUGUGAGAGAGGGGGAUGGAAAAGUUGGAAGCCUUUCCCUUUUGGUGUGUUGUUGCCAGGCAGUCCAGCAGGAGCAGGAAGAAUGUGUUGCUGUUCUGCUGGAACACGGUGCCGACCCCAAUCUGGCAGACGCUGACGGCAACACUGCCCUUCACCUGGCUGUGCUCUCUAAAAACACAGCUGUAGCAGGGCUGUUACUGGAGCAUCAUGCCAACAGUGAUGCUCAGAACCAGUGGGGAUUUACCCCCUUGAAACUUGCAGCCUUGCAACAGCAUGAGGAGAUUCUGGAGUGCCUUGUGAACAAAGCAGCUGACAGGCCUGCUCAAGGCCAGGGG